UCGCCAGUCCCCAAUACCAGACCUGGACUUAGAGGGCUGGAACACAGGCAGCCAGCUGCCCAGGGACGGGGAUAGACGGUCACUGCAAACAGAUGCACAGGAGGUGGAGAGAGAGCAGGAAGCAGCGUCACUCAGCUCGUAGAAACCUGGGCAGAGCAGACACAGUGGUUAGCGGACCAGAGCUCUUUUCUCUUGCUUUGACUGCCACGGAGAGGGGUGAAGAGCAGGGUAGGAUCCUGGCAGCCUGGCUCACGGAUGUCCAGUCAUCAUGAGCCAUACCUGAGCUGGGCCUGCUGUCACUGUCCAAGGCCUCGCAGGAAGACCUGCUCACAUCCAGCUGCAGUUCACUUAUCUGCUGAUCCAGCUGGUCCAAGUGUGUCUUCAGGCCAGCAUCCUGUCUCCUUAGCCGUGACUAGGAGAAAAGAAGAUAAUCCAAAAGAGACAGAGGGCACCAAGAGAUUGGGAUUUCCCCAGAAUCUCAUCUUGGGAGAAAGAAUGAGAAUGAGCCAGGGGCCACCUGGAGCCAAAGCGUGUCUCCCAAGAAGAGAUUUCCCCUGUCUGACAGCCCACCUACCAGACACCUGAGACAAAGCCACCUUGCUCGGGAUUGAUCACCUCUUGCUUCUUUUCAUAUCUAUAUUCGUGUCGGUGCCCUAAGGAUGAACUUGGGGGCCACUGGACCUUUUUAUUGAUCCUAAUUUUCAAUGUGGACACACUGAAUAAAUGUCCUUUCUCAGCUUUUCAGUA
Molecule: long non-coding RNA, 747 nt
Organism: Mastomys coucha (southern multimammate mouse)
Lineage: Eukaryota; Metazoa; Chordata; Mammalia; Rodentia; Muridae
Exons: 3
Source: RefSeq, a predicted model, not a curated record